GACGAACGCUGGCGGCGUGCUUAACACAUGCAAGUCGAACGGAAAGGCCCUGCUUGCCGGGUGCUCGAGUGGCGAACGGGUGAGUAACACGUGGGUGAUCUGCCCCUUACUUUGGGAUAAGCCUGGGAAACUGGGUCUAAUACUGGAUAGGACCAUGCUGUAGGUGGUGUGGUGGAAAGAUUAGUUUCGGUAAGGGAUGAGCUCGCGGCCUAUCAGCUUGUUGGUGGGGUAAUGGCCUACCAAGGCGUCGACGGGUAGCCGGCCUGAGAGGGUGGACGGCCACAUUGGGACUGAGACACGGCCCAGACGCCUACGAGAGGCAGCAGUGGGGAAUAGUGCACAAUGGGCGCAAGCCUGAUGCAGCGACGCCGCGUGGGGGAUGACGGCCUUCGGGUUGUAAACUCCUUUCAGCCAUGACGAAGCCCUUGUGGUGACGGUAGUGGUAGAAGAAGCACCGGCUAACUACGUG
Molecule: ribosomal RNA, 469 nt
Filed under: uncultured bacterium
Lineage: Bacteria
Description: partial 16S ribosomal RNA
Rfam family: Bacterial small subunit ribosomal RNA
Source: RNAcentral